UUGGCUCAGAACGAACGCUGGCGGCAGGCCUAACACAUGCAAGUCGAACGGUAACAGAAAGCAGCUUGCUGCUUUGCUGACGAGUGGCGGACGGGUGAGUAAUGUCUGGGAAACUGCCCGAUGGAGGGGGAUAACUACUGGAAACGGUAGCUAAUACCGCAUAACGUCUUCGGACCAAAGAGGGGGACCUUCGGGCCUCUUGCCAUCGGAUGUGCCCAGAUGGGAUUAGCUAGUAGGUGGGGUAACGGCUCACCUAGGCGACGAUCCCUAGCUGGUCUGAGAGGAUGACCAGCCACACUGGAACUGAGACACGGUCC
Molecule: ribosomal RNA, 317 nt
Filed under: uncultured Enterobacter sp.
Lineage: Bacteria; Pseudomonadati; Pseudomonadota; Gammaproteobacteria; Enterobacterales; Enterobacteriaceae
Description: bacterial SSU rRNA
Rfam family: Bacterial small subunit ribosomal RNA
Source: RNAcentral